This 709-nucleotide ribosomal RNA is filed under the name Enterobacillus tribolii. Its description in RNAcentral is "partial 23S ribosomal RNA". It matches the Rfam family "Bacterial large subunit ribosomal RNA", at positions 2240 to 2925 of the family's 2925-position model. Lineage: Bacteria; Pseudomonadati; Pseudomonadota; Gammaproteobacteria; Enterobacterales; Hafniaceae. The record is from RNAcentral.
CCGGGUUGCGGACAGUGUCUGGUGGGUAGUUUGACUGGGGCGGUCUCCUCCCAAAGCGUAACGGAGGAGCACGAAGGUUAGCUAAUCCUGGUCGGACAUCAGGAGGUUAGUGCAAAGGCAUAAGCUAGCUUGACUGCGAGAGUGACGGCUCGAGCAGGUGCGAAAGCAGGUCUUAGUGAUCCGGUGGUUCUGAAUGGAAGGGCCAUCGCUCAACGGAUAAAAGGUACUCCGGGGAUAACAGGCUGAUACCGCCCAAGAGUUCAUAUCGACGGCGGUGUUUGGCACCUCGAUGUCGGCUCAUCACAUCCUGGGGCUGAAGUAGGUCCCAAGGGUAUGGCUGUUCGCCAUUUAAAGUGGUACGCGAGCUGGGUUUAGAACGUCGUGAGACAGUUCGGUCCCUAUCUGCCGUGGGCGUUGGAGAAUUGAGGGGGGCUGCUCCUAGUACGAGAGGACCGGAGUGGACGCAUCACUGGUGUUCGGGUUGUCAUGCCAAUGGCAUUGCCCGGUAGCUACAUGCGGAAGAGAUAAGUGCUGAAAGCAUCUAAGCACGAAACUUGCCCCGAGAUGAGUUCUCCCUUGGACCUAGAGUCCACUAAAGGAACGUUGAAGACGACGACGUUGAUAGGUCGGGUGUGUAAGCGCAGCGAUGCGUUGAGCUAACCGAUACUAAUGAACCGAGAGGCUUAACCUUACAACACCGAAGGUGUUU